UUUGCACACUAUAUUAGGUAAUGCCUGCCCAGUGACCAUAUGUUCAACGGCCGCGGUAUUCUGACCGCGCGAAGGUAGCGUAAUCACUUGUCUUCUAAAUAAAGACUAGUAUGAACGGCCACACGAAGACUUAACUGUCUCCCCUGUCCAAUCAGUGAAACUGAUCUCCUCGUGCAGAAGCGAGGAUAAACACAUAAGACGAGAAGACCCUAUGGAGCUUUAAACUUAAUAUCAACUUCCCUCUUUUACCCCUCUAAGGAGCUGACAAGAUUACUAGACUCGAUAUAAGUUUUAGGUUGGGGCGACCAUGGAGAAAAAAACAACCUCCCUGAUGAUUUUUAAACCAAGAGCCACAGCUCUAAGUAUUAGGACUCUUAACUCCCAUUGACCCAUUUUUUUGAUCAACGAACCA
Molecule: ribosomal RNA, 412 nt
Filed under: Xenophrys sp. 3 SG-2015
Lineage: Eukaryota; Metazoa; Chordata; Amphibia; Anura; Megophryidae
Description: partial 16S ribosomal RNA
Rfam family: Archaeal large subunit ribosomal RNA
Source: RNAcentral